RNAcentral lists this ribosomal RNA (3082 nucleotides) under Arachis monticola. RNAcentral's name for it is "bacterial LSU rRNA". It matches the Rfam family "Bacterial large subunit ribosomal RNA". The record is from RNAcentral. Lineage: Eukaryota; Viridiplantae; Streptophyta; Magnoliopsida; Fabales; Fabaceae.
GCUAUGGUGGAUUAGCCUUAGCACCCCAGAGACGAGGAAAAGGCUAGGUAGCGACGAAAAUGCUUCGGGGAGUUUGAAAAUAAGCGUUAGAUCCUGAGAUUCCCGAAUAGGUCAACAUUUCGAACUGCUGCUGAAUACACGGGCAGGCAAGAGACAAGCUGGCCAACUGAAACAUCUGAGUAGCCAGAGGAAAAGAAAAGCAAAAGCAUUCCCAUGUAGUAGCGCGAGGAAAUUGGGAGCCAGCGCCCUAUAAACCGUGAAAACCGGGGUUGUUGGAGAGCUAUACAAGCGUCGUUCUGCUAGGCGAAGCGGUGGAGUGCUUCACCCUAGAUGGCGAAAGUCCAGUAGCCGAAAGCAUCACUAACUUACGCUCUGACCCGAGUAGCAUGGGGCACGUGGAAUCACGUGUGAAUCAGCAAGGACCACCUUGCAAGGCUAAAUACUCCUGGGUGACCGAUAGUGAAGUAGUACCGUGAAGGAAGGGUGAAAAGAACCGCCAUCGGGGAGUGAAAUAGAACAUGAAAUCGUAAGCUCCCAAGCAGUGGGAGGAGCCCAGCCCGGGGCUCUAACCGCAUGCCUGUUGAAGAAUGAGACGGCCGGGCGACUACCAUAGGCAUGGCGACGGAUUAUUGGUGAAUUAAAAGGGGAAACCCACCGGACCGAGCGGAAAGCGCAGUCUUUCAUAGGAGCAGUUGUCAACCUGCUAUAUGCCACCGAACUGGGACAGGUGGUUGAGUGAUCUAUCUAAAUGACCAGGAUCGAAGCUUUUGGUGGAACUAAGUGGAGGUCCGAACAGACUGAUGUUGAAGAAUCAGCGGAUGAGUUGUGGUUAGGGGUGAAGUGCCACUCGAACCCAGAGCUAGUUGGUUCUCCUCGAAAUGCGUUGAGGCAUAGUAGUUGACUGGACAUCUAGGGGGUAAAGCACUAUUUUGGUGUGGGCCGCGAGAGCCAUCGGUACCAAAUCGAGGCAAAAUCUGAAUACUAGAUAUGACCUCAAAAUAACAAAGGUCAAGGUCGGCCAGUGAGACGAUGGGGGAUAAGCUUCAUCGUCGAGAGGGAAACAGCCCGGAUCUAUCACAGCUAAGGCCCCUAAAAAUGACCGCUCAGUGUAAAGGAGGUAGCGGGCGUGCAAGAGCAGCCGAGUGAGGUUUGCCUAGAAGCAGCCACCCUUGAAAUAGUGCGUAAUAGCUCACUGAUCGACCGCUCUCUGCUCCGAAGAUGACCGGGGCUAAGCGAUCUGCCGAAGCUGCGGGAUGUAAAAAUGAAUCGGUAGGGGGAGCGUUUCGCCUUAGAGGAAAGGACCCGCACGAGCAGUGGUGGACGAAACAGAAGCGAGAAUGUCGGCCUGAGUAACGCAAACGUUGGUGAGAACCCAAUGCCUCGAAAACCUAAGAGUUCCUCCGCAAGGUUCGUACACGGAGGGUGAGUCAGGGCGUAAGAUCAGGCCGAAAGGAGUAGUCGAUGGACAACAGGUGAAUAUUCCUGUACUACCCCUGGUUGGUCCCGAGGGACGGAGGAGGCUAGGUUAGACGAAAGAUGGUUAUCGGUUCAAGGACGCAAGGUGCCCCUGCUUUUUCAGGGUAAGAAGGGGUAGAGAAAAUGCCUCGAGCCAAUAUUCGAGUACCAGGCGCUACGGCGCUGAAGUAACCCAUGCCAUACUCCCAGAAAAAGCUCGAACGACCUUCAACAAAAGCGUACCUAUACCCGAAACCGACACCGGCGGGUAGGUAGAGAAUACCUAGGGGCGCGAGACAACUCUCUCUAAGGACCUCGGCAAAAUAGCCCCGUAACUUCGGGAGAAGGGAUGCCCCCUCACAAAGGGGGUCGCAGUGACCAGGCCCGGGCGACUGUUUACCAAAAAACACAGGUCUCCGCCAAGUCGUAAGACCAUGUAUGGGGCUGACGCCUGCCCAGUACCGGAAGGUCAAGGAAGUUGGUGACCUGAUGACAGGGGAGCCGGCGACCGAAGCCCCGGUGAACGGCGGCCGUAACUAUAACGGUCCUAAGGUAGCGAAAUUCCUUGUCGGGUAAGUCCCGACCCGCACGAAAGGCGUAACCAUCUGGGCACUGUCUCGGAGAGAGGCUCGGUGAAAUAGACAUGUCUGUGAAGAUGCGGACUACCUCCACUUGGACAGAAAGACCCUAUGAAGCUUCACUGUUCCCUGGGAUUGGCUUUUGGCUUUCCUGCGCAGCUUAGGUGGAAGGCGAAGAAGGCCUCCUUCCGGGGGGGCCCGAGCAAUCAGUGAGAUACCACUCUGGAAGAGCUAGAAUUCUAACCUUGUGCCAGGACCUACGGGCCAAGGAACAGUCUCAGGUAGACAGAUUCUAUGGGGCGUAGGCCUCCCAAAAGGUAACGGAGGCGUGCAAAGGUUUCCUCGGGCCAGACGGAGAUUGGCCCUCGAGUGCAAACCAAAAAAGGCAGGAAGGGAUUACUGCAAGAACCCACCCGUCGAGCAGGACGAAAAGUUCGGCCUUAGUGAUCCGACGGUGCCGAGUGGAAGGGCAGUCGCUCAACGGAUAAAAGUUGCUCUAGGGAUAACAGGCUAAUCUUCCCCAAGAGCUCACAUCGACGGGAAGGUUUGGCACCUCGAUGUCGGCUCCUCGCCACCUGGGGCUGUAGUAUGUUCCAAGUGUUGGGCUGUUCGCCCAUUAAAGCGGUACGUGAGCUGGGUUCAGAACGUCGUGAGACAGUUCAGUCCAUAUCCGGUGUGGGCGUUAGAGCAUUGAGAGGACCUUUUCCUAGUACGAGAGGACCGGUAAGGACGCACCUCUGGUGUGCCAGUUAUCGUGCCAACGGUAAACGCUGGGUAGCCAAGUGCGAAGCGGAUAACUGCUGAAAGAAUCUAAGUAGUAAGCCCACCCCAAGAUGAGUGCCCUCCUAUUCCGACUUCCCCAGAGCCUCCUGUAGCACAGCCGAGACAGCGAUGGGUUCUCUGCCCCUGCGGGAAUGGAGCGAAAGAAGCUUGGAGAAUUCAAGAGAAGGUCACGGCGAGAUGAGCCGUUUCUCAUUAACGAUAGGUGUCAAGUGGAAGUGCAGUGAUGUAUGCAGCUGAGACAUCCUAACAGACCGGUAGACUUAAAC